This 166-nucleotide microRNA precursor is filed under the name Linum usitatissimum (flax). RNAcentral's name for it is "miR168a stem-loop (lus-MIR168a)". Its record names the gene lus-MIR168a. The stretch from base 13 to 156 matches the Rfam family "MIR168 microRNA precursor family". Lineage: Eukaryota; Viridiplantae; Streptophyta; Magnoliopsida; Malpighiales; Linaceae. The record is from miRBase by way of RNAcentral.
UGUCUGUGUGUGUUACUUGCGUUCUCUGAUUCGCUUGGUGCAGGUCGGGAACUGAUUGCGUUUCUCCCUGCCGGCAUCCGACUGCUGCUGUCGCCAGUGGGUUAGAAACAAAUUGGAUCCUGCCUUGCGUCAACUGAAUCGGCGACUGCAGUGAAUUUGCCGGAGA